This 495-nucleotide ribosomal RNA is filed under the name uncultured bacterium. Its description in RNAcentral is "partial 16S ribosomal RNA". It matches the Rfam family "Bacterial small subunit ribosomal RNA", at positions 28 to 507 of the family's 1533-position model. The record is from RNAcentral.
GACGAACGCUGGCGGCGUGCCUAAUACAUGCAAGUAGAACGCUGAAGGAGGAGCUUGCUCUUCUGGAUGAGUUGCGAACGGGUGAGUAACGCGUAGGUAACCUGCCUGGUAGCGGGGGAUAACUAUUGGAAACGAUAGCUAAUACCGCAUAACAGUAGAUGUUGCAUGACAUUUGCUUAAAAGGUGCAAUUGCAUCACUACCAGAUGGACCUGCGUUGUAUUAGCUAGUUGGUGGGGUAACGGCUCACCAAGGCGACGAUACAUAGCCGACCUGAGAGGGUGAUCGGCCACACUGGGACUGAGACACGGCCCAGACUCCUACGGGAGGCAGCAGUAGGGAAUCUUCGGCAAUGGACGGAAGUCUGAACGAGCAACGCCGCGUGAGUGAAGAAGGUUUUCGGAUCGUAAAGCUCUGUUGUAAGAGAAGAACGAGUGUGAGAGUGGAAAGUUCACACUGUGACGGUAUCUUACCAGAAAGGGACGGCUAACUACGUG